Molecule: ribosomal RNA, 505 nt
Filed under: Cervidellus vexilliger
Lineage: Eukaryota; Metazoa; Nematoda; Chromadorea; Rhabditida; Cephalobidae
Description: SSU rRNA
Rfam family: Eukaryotic small subunit ribosomal RNA
Source: RNAcentral
CGCGAAUGGCUCAUUACAACAGCUAUAAUUUACUUGAUCUUGACACAAUCCUACUUGGAUAACUGUGGUAAUUCUAGAGCCAAUACAUGCAUUAAAGCUCUGACCUCACGGGAAGAGUGCAUUUAUUAGAACAAAACCAAGCGGCUUCGGCUGUUUCUGGUUGACUCAUAGUAACUGAGCUGAUCGCAUGGUCUUGCACCGGCGACGUGUCUUUCAAGUAUCUGCCGUAUCAACUUUCGAUGGUAGUGUAUCUGACUACCAUGGUGAUCACGCGUAACGGAGAAUAAGGGUUCGGCUCCGGAGAGUUCGCCUGAGAAAUCGCGAACACAUCUAAGGAAGGCAGCAGGCGCGAAAAUUACCCACUCUCAGCACGAGGAGGUAGUGACGAAAAAUAACGAGACCGUUCUCUUAUGAGGCCGGUCAUCGGAAUGGGUACAAUUUAAACCCUUUAACGAGUAUCUAUGAGAGGGCAAGUCUGGUGCCAGCAGCCGCGGUAAUUCCAGCU